GUGGACAGGUGACCGCCGUUUCGUCAUGCGGAGCGGAGGAAAGUCCGGACACGACAGGACACGGUGGUGGGUAACUCCCACCGGCUCGCGUUGGGCCAGGGAAAGUGCCACAGAAACGAUACCGCCCGCUGCGGCGGGUAAGGGUGAAAUGGUGCGGUAAGAGCGCACCGCUCGACUGGUGACAGCCGAGGCAGGGCAAACCCCACCGCGUGCAAGCGCAAGCAGUCCUCGCGAGCAGCUUCGGUCGCUCGGCCCGUGGUCCGCGGGAUGAGGACGGGUCGCGUGCUCGAGGCGUUCGGAGACGAGCGUCCUAGAUGAAUGGUCGCCGCCCAGCCGAGCCGUCAAGGACCGCGAGGCAGGGAACAGAAUCCGGCUUAUGUCCACAGAC
RNAcentral lists this RNase P RNA (388 nucleotides) under Phycisphaerales bacterium. RNAcentral's name for it is "RNase P RNA component class A". It matches the Rfam family "Bacterial RNase P class A". Rfam says of the family: Ribonuclease P (RNase P) is a ubiquitous endoribonuclease, found in archaea, bacteria and eukarya as well as chloroplasts and mitochondria. Its best characterised activity is the generation of mature 5'-ends of tRNAs by cleaving the 5'-leader elements of precursor-tRNAs. The record is from RNAcentral. Lineage: Bacteria; Pseudomonadati; Planctomycetota; Phycisphaerae; Phycisphaerales.